Long non-coding RNA from Peromyscus eremicus (cactus mouse), 1788 nucleotides. RefSeq lists it as uncharacterized. The transcript has 2 exons. The record is from RefSeq and is a predicted model, not a curated record. NCBI's taxonomy places the organism in Eukaryota, Metazoa, Chordata, Mammalia, Rodentia, Cricetidae.
UAGCUUUCACACAGUUGACUAGCCAGAGGCAACUAUUACCACCUCCCAGACAGAAAGGGACCUGGGCAUCCUAGCUGCUGACAGGGAGAACAUGACCAGACUGACCCCACACACUCCUCACUGGUGCUCUCACCAUGGCAAGCGCUGACAGCAAAGCCAAUUCGCUUUCGGGCCCGAUCAAAGACCACAUAGAAACCUUCCAUGAUGACAGCUCCCAUGACAGUGCCCGUGGAUGACUGUGAGAUGGCGAACUUGUAACAGUCGUCUUGGGACGUGGCCACAUCUUCCACCGGCCGCAGGUAUUGCUAGGGAUAAAUAGUCACAGGGUGAGAGCAUGCCUUCUUAUUUCACCCUCCUGCCUUUCUCUGCUUUCUAGCCGUCUGCACUUGUCUCUUCCUCAAGCCCUGAGGUGUUGAAUGUUCCAAGACCCCUUUACCACUAGACCUUCAUUUUGUCUUUCAAGUUAUAGGAAGCCACGUCUGUUUAGUAUACACACUUUGUCUUCUUCUUGGCACCCCACCACUUCAGCUUGGGGACGUACCUGAGGAAGAAUGGUGAUGCGGAAGGACUGAUUGGUGACCUCACCCAUGAGGGAAAUCUCCACAGUGGCAAAGGAAAACUAGACUAAGGAUCGGAAGAAGAAAGUGGGGCACUGGGCUCAUAAACCUGUGCUAGGGCUACUGAGCUUGGCAGCUCACACCACCUGUGGUCCCAGAAUUUGGAAGGCUGAGGCAUGAAGAUGUCAAGUUCAAGGCCAACCUGCAUUACAUUCAAGACCCUGUCUCCAAAACAAAAAAAGAAGAAAGGUACCAGCUGAGCCAACAGACCAACCACAGUUUCUGAGUGCCCUGAGUGGAAAGGUCUAUAUAUAGACAUCUUUGGUGCUUGCUGAGGUGUGUGGCUGCCACUGACUUUGACACCGUUUUGUCCUUACUCCACUGACCGAGGAGGCCGCCUUGAUGGACUUGACUGCAGCUUCAAACACUUUCUUAGGCAGACGAAGGUUGGUGGUGCCACUGUCCACGAUGCUCUUGUCAUAGUUGUACUGGGAAGGAGAGCAAAGGGUCAGAAGAGUUGGGAGGGGUUGACUCUGACAUCUAGGCAUCCUGCUAGGGUUGGCAUCUCAGCUUUGCAUACCUCCUUGGGCAAGUUACUUAACCUCUGUGAACCUGUUUCCUUGUCUCUAAACUGAAGAUAAUAACAGUACCUACCUCAAAGGUUAGCAAAAGGAUUAACUAAAUCAACAUGCUAAAAGUACUAAGUAGUUCUAGCAGAUCCCAGGCACUUGGUGAGUAUUAACUUCAUUACCUUGUGCGGGUAGGUGUUCUCCAAAUCUAAACAGAAUGCCUUGUGUGGUGUUUGUAACUUCUUCCAGUACUUUUGUGUAGUUAUUCUCAUUUAACAUACAUAAUAAUGUAGACAAGGUUGGCUCAGCGUGCAUGAAGCCCUAGGUUUGAGCCCUAGUACUGCAUGGUGGCGUAGGCCUGUAGAGCACUUGAGAGUCAGACACAGGAGGACCAGGAGUUCAACAUCAUCUUUAGCUACAUAGCAAGUCUGAGGCCAGCAUGUGCUACAUGAAACCCUACCUGAAAAAGCCAAAAAAGUGGGCCAUUGAGAUAGCUCAGCAGGUAAGGGUGCCUGCUACCAAAUAUGACCUGAGUUCAAUUCCAGGGAGAUCCAUAUGGUGGGAGAACUAGUUACUGAAAAUCGUCCUCUAACCUCCACACAGAAGCUGUAGCACAUGCACCCCCUACCCCGCUAAAAAUGUAAAAGGAAAAAAAAAAAGAA